Molecule: long non-coding RNA, 1766 nt
Organism: Oryzias sinensis (Chinese medaka)
Lineage: Eukaryota; Metazoa; Chordata; Actinopteri; Beloniformes; Adrianichthyidae
Source: Ensembl
AUGUCUGUGGGAUCAUUAUCUGCAGAACUCCCACAAGAACUUCGUAAAGGGCAGAAGAAGAGGGCCGAGCUGCAGCUCUGCAACAGGGAGAGGAGGUCCAACGCGGACGAGGAGGAACCGGGACCGCCGCACAUUAAAGAGGAAGAGGAGGAACUGUGCACCAGCCAGGAUGCAGAGCAGUUUGUGGUGAAGCAGGAGAAUGGGUCGCUUUUGCUUCUUCAGUUCAAACCCAAAUCUGAAGAACUAUUUGAGGUUUCAGAAGGCAGCCUGGUCCCGUCUGAGGAGGAGAUGGACGGUCAGUACAGAGCGCUGGACGCUGCCUGGAGGCCGCGAGGAAAGCUGCGUAGAAUCGAGGAAACCGAGCCGGACACGGGGCCCGCUGCGGCGGAUGAGGAAGACUCCGAGGCCUCUUCGGCCUCCCAGCCGGCCCCGGCCCAGGAGAUGAAGAAGAGGAAGAAGGUGGCCACCGCCGCCGAUGGGGACAGACAGUACCCCUGGGGGGAUGGACACCAAGAUACAAUGGCGCGCUUUUGGCUGACACACCCGAUCUUCUACGAUAAAGCCCAACAGCACUACAAAAACAAAGAAAUGAGGAAGCAGCUCAUGCAGGACUUGAUUCAAAAGAACCACAAGGAGUGGGAGAAGAUCCUCACCCCCCUGCCCACCGUGGUCCAAGUGGAUGCACAUUUGCGCAACAUGCGAACCAGAUUUGUGAAGCUGCUAAAGCGUAAAUCUGCUGCCCCCGCGCUGACGUUGUCCUACAAGGAUCAGAAGAUCUGGGAGCGCUACCAGUUCCUGCGUCCGUACAUUCAGCGCAACCGGACAACAGCAACACACUGUAUUCCUGGCGUGCAGUCCAGAGGGGACGCUGCUGAGGAUGACAUUGAUGAAGAUCCCAGUCUUCAAUUGAGUCAGCGGGUCGAAUUGGGCGGUCAGCCCUCCAGCUCUCAGACGCCGCCAAAAGGGAAAGGAAAGGUCAUAAACAGAAGACCUCUCACUUCGCCUACGCCAUCUACUGGUCCAGACAGCGAGGACGUGUCUGAGAUGGAGCAAAUACUGCAGCAGGCCAAGGACCUGAUCUCGAGCAUCAGGGCUCCAUCGCGCAGUGAGCAUGAGAGGAGGGUCAGGGACUUCAGCAGGUAUAUGGAGUCAGAGAUGCUUCUAAUACCAGAGUCCUUAUGGGACGAGUGCAGCUUCUCCAUCAUGAACGUGAUCCGAGGCUUCAAGACGGCUCAGAAGCAGGGACACCUGGCCCUGUCGCAGCAUCAAGCCUACCAGCAGAGUUAUGGGAGCCAGCCGUACCAGCAGCCACAGGGGGGGUAUUCCACACAGACUGGCAGCUUGCAGCCUCAUAGUGGUACCUUCCAGAAUCACCAGCAACCGGGCACUUUCCACCAACAGAGUGGGACCUUUCAGUAGCUGCAGCCGCUGCUGGAUCGGACAUGCUGCCCACCGUGGUCAGCAGUUCUGUUUGGACGCCAGCUGGAGCAAACGCUUGUGGACUUUGGCGUUCAUCCCGUGAGGAAGAGGAAGUCUACGGCUGGAAUCGCCAAAUGUGUUGCCAACCCCAACAGCUGCUAAGUGGGCAGAGUUGAGCAGGACUCAGACUUGCUUUGUAAUUUUUUUUACAGCUUAUCUAUUUGUACGCACUGUUUGCACUUAAAAAAUAAAGUGUGCAUUGAAGUGAGGAGCUGACGCCUGGACGGUCUCGUGCUUUUACCUCACCAGGUUUCCCACAAGGACACAGUCUCCUCACCGUUGUAUUA